UACGGAGGGUGCAAGCGUUAAUCGGAAUUACUGGGCGUAAAGGGCGCGUAGGUGGUUAUUUAAGUUGGGUGUGAAAUUCCUGGGCUUAACCUGGGGUGGUCACCCAAAACUGGGUACCUAGAGUGCGAGAGAGGGUAGUGGAAUUUCAGGUGUAGCGGUGAAAUGCGUAGAUAUCUGAAGGAACACCAGUGGCGAAGGCGACUACCUGGCUCGCAACUGACACUGAGGCGCGAAAGCGUGGGGAGCAAACAGG
Molecule: ribosomal RNA, 253 nt
Filed under: uncultured bacterium
Lineage: Bacteria
Description: partial 16S ribosomal RNA
Rfam family: Bacterial small subunit ribosomal RNA
Source: RNAcentral